UCCUACGGGGGGCAGCAGUGGGGGAUAUUGCACAAUGGGGGAAACCCUGAUGCAGCGACGCCGCGUGGGUGAAGAAGCGCCUCGGCGCGUGAAGCCCUGUCAGCAGGGAAGAAAAUGACGGUACCUGAAGAAGAAGCCCCGGCUAACUACGUGCCAGCAGCCGCGGUAAUACGUAGGGGGCAAGCGUUAUCCGGAUUUACUGGGUGUAAAGGGGGCGCAGACGGCGAUGCAAGCCAGGAGUGAAAGCCCGGGGCCCAACCCCGGGACUGCUCUUGGAACUGCGUGGCUAGAGUGCAGGAGGGGCG
Molecule: ribosomal RNA, 305 nt
Filed under: uncultured bacterium
Lineage: Bacteria
Description: bacterial SSU rRNA
Rfam family: Bacterial small subunit ribosomal RNA
Source: RNAcentral